GGGAUUUAAUGAUGCACAUAGGUACUUUGAAGAUGGAAAGUUUCUUUUUAAGAAGGAAAAAAAUGUGAGAAUUUACUCUAAAAUACUUAGAAGCAAUGUGCGAGGCUAAUAACAAAGAAAGAACGAAAAUUGAAGUUGAAGAAGGUUUGGUCGAGAUAGCCAGGCGGCGCGACCCAACUAGGCCGCGAUGCUAGGUGUGGUGCAUAUUUAAGGUUAUUUUUGAAAUCCAACUUUUCCUAUCGUUUUUGGACUAGAAUAUUCAAUCUAGGACUUUUCCUACAUAUAUAGAUAGUCCUUAAAACACAUUUUUAAACGGAUAUUGAGAUUAGCAAAGGAUAAACAUGGUAAGAGCAAUUUUGAUGAUUUUUAGCUUUCUUAUAAUUUUUAUUAUGACUAUGAGCGGCUAAGUUCUCUUGUUCUAGGGUUAUGAAUAGUACAUAAAUGUUUGACUUGGACAGUAAAAGUAAUUACUUAUAUUAAUUAAAUACAUUAAAUUGGUUUGUUUAUUUUAUCGUGCACUUAAUUAGCUGUUGGGUAAUUAAUAGUAAAAUUUUAUUAUUUACGAAUUUAUUGAACUUGAAAAGUGGAAGCUAUGGAUUGCAUGUAGGGUUAGAUAGAAUGAAUUUAAUCUUACAAUCUGAAAGCAAAGCUAAAGGAAAUCCACCAAGUCUAUAAUAUCCAGACUUUGUCUUAAACUUUUUGGAACACGUUUCAAGAGUAAUAUUGAAUAUAUCAACUCCCCAAGCAUAUGAGUUGUAGUCCCCACUCUCACCCAAAUCGAAGUAUGACAUAUCAAGUAUUUUACUCUUAAACAUUAAUUGUAAUAAUCUUUUUAUAUUUUUUAAAAUUUUAUAACUAUAUCACAUCAAUUAGGCCUUACAGAGUAAUAGGAAAGUGUAUGAGAGGUGGGGGGGUUUCAUACAUGAACAUUUGACAAUUCAAAAAUAACGUGGCAUGACAGAAAGUGGCGGGCGGAGCUAAGUGGGGAUUCGUGGAUUCAGAAAAAUCAAUAGCUUUUCAGAAGUUCCUAUAUUUGUAUUAGAAAAUUAAAUAAAUAUAUAUGCAUAUUAACUUUUGAACCUCCUGAUAAAAUUUAUUGAUGGUUCAGUGGCAAGAAAAGGGCCGUGGAAAUAUUUUCCACACUAGAGUUGUGGGUUUGAACCCCACUAUCAAUAAAAGUCUCUUUUAGAACCCCAAACUCCUAAUUCUGACUCCACCAAGCCAUAUUAAUUAAACUAUGUAGGCAUUUGGCCAUGCGAUACCAUAUCGUAUAUCACGAUAUGGUAUCGUGAGAUGGAAUCAACGUUUUGAACAUGCGAUUUUUACGCUGAUUCCAUCUCAUGAUUUCAUAUCAUGAGAUGUGAUUCCAUAUUCUCCAAAAACCAUGAUAUGGAAUUAUAUGAGAAUUCCAUAUCAUGAUUUGAGAUAUUUUAAUACAAAAAUUGAUCCACGAGUUUAUAUUUUGUUAAAACAACCCCACAUUUAUAUCAACUAACCAUUUAUUUCAUAUGUAAAUAAAACUUAUUAUAAUCACAUCAUUACUUUUUAAAAUUUAUUACUCACCGACAUAAAAUUUAUUAUUCUCACCAACAUAUAGUCUUAUGUGCUUGUGAUUUUGAUAUGCAAUUUGCCUUUUGUUGUUGCUGGUUGGGAAGGUACUGCACAUGAUAGUAAAGUACUUGAGAAUGCACUUAUUGAACCAACGUCAUAAUUUCCAUUUCUGCCACAUGGUAACUUUAAAUUACAUCCUUAGAAUAAAUAUUAUUUAUUUACAGAAAGCUGUCUCAUUUACGUCACAUAUGCUUUUAGUAAUUCUUUAUAAAAUGUUUGUUGGUAGAUAAAUAUUAUGUCAUUGAUGCUGGUUUCCGAAACACAAUAGGAUUUUUAGCUCCAUACAAAGGACUACGUUAUCAUUUGCAAGAUUACCGAG
RNAcentral lists this long non-coding RNA (1930 nucleotides) under Solanum tuberosum (potato). RNAcentral's name for it is "long non-coding RNA (STUB_LNC010938)". The stretch from base 1289 to 1344 matches the Rfam family "MIR1886 microRNA precursor family". Lineage: Eukaryota; Viridiplantae; Streptophyta; Magnoliopsida; Solanales; Solanaceae. The record is from RNAcentral.